GGGUGUGUAGCUCAGAGGGAGAGCGCUUCCCUCACACGGAAGAGGCCACAGGUUCGAUCCCUGUCACACCCACCA
RNAcentral lists this transfer RNA (75 nucleotides) under Athalassotoga saccharophila. RNAcentral describes it as "tRNA-Val". It matches the Rfam family "tRNA". Rfam says of the family: Transfer RNA (tRNA) molecules are approximately 80 nucleotides in length. Their secondary structure includes four short double-helical elements and three loops (D, anti-codon, and T loops). Further hydrogen bonds mediate the characteristic L-shaped molecular structure. tRNAs have two regions of fundamental functional importance: the anti-codon, which is responsible for specific mRNA codon recognition, and the 3' end, to which the tRNAs corresponding amino acid is attached (by aminoacyl-tRNA synthetases). tRNAs cope with the degeneracy of the genetic code in two manners: having more than one tRNA (with a specific anti-codon) for a particular amino acid; and 'wobble' base-pairing, i.e. permitting non-standard base-pairing at the 3rd anti-codon position. The record is from RNAcentral. Lineage: Bacteria; Thermotogati; Thermotogota; Thermotogae; Mesoaciditogales; Mesoaciditogaceae. RNAcentral also lists the same sequence under 4 other names.